GACGAACCGUGCGAACGUUGUUCGGAAUCACUGGGCUUAAAGGGCGCGUAGGCGGACGACCAAGUCUGGGGUGAAAUCUUUCGGCUCAACCGGAAAACUGCCUUGGAUACUGGUCGCCUUGAGGGAGGUAGGGGCAUGUGGAACUUCCGGUGGAGCGGUGAAAUGCGUUGAUAUCGGAAGGAACGCCAGUGGCGAAAGCGGCGUGCUGGACCUCUUCUGACGCUGAGGCGCGAAAGCUAGGGGAGCAAACGGG
RNAcentral lists this ribosomal RNA (253 nucleotides) under uncultured bacterium. Its description in RNAcentral is "partial 16S ribosomal RNA". It matches the Rfam family "Bacterial small subunit ribosomal RNA", at positions 524 to 776 of the family's 1533-position model. The record is from RNAcentral.